UUCUCAAACUAGGACCGAGUCUAACUUGCGACCGCCGUACGGAAUGUGUACGUUCAGCUUGCCGUCGCCUGGAAGCCCACGGCCGCUCACCGCUUGCCCACUCAUUUCAUAGCCUUGCAUGGAAAGUCACCCCCUAUUGCAUCGCUUUCAAUGCGAUUAUGGCGUAUAAGACACUCGUCCUUUCGUCCCCUAGCGUUCUGGAACGCGACUAACUCGCCGGCUAUAGUCUAAUCGAUCAACCACUCCAUUUCCGAGUGGUUCCGCUGCUAGACAUCGCCCAGACUCUCCUACUAGGCGGUGUGACCUUGACUCUGUGCCAGGUCUGAGGAUGCCCUCCGUCGUCACCCCUUAAAACCUGUUACCCCCGUUGGGACUAGGUCGGUACGGCGCACUCACUUCUUCCGGAAGCCCAACAUUUCGAGAAAGCCGGCCCUUCUUUAGCGCGUCCGAUUAUGGGACACACCUACUGCCAUGGCCUUAUUCUUCGUGGCCGAUUGAUGCACGGUCGUCGGCGCCAUUAUGCAUCCCACGCUCGCAAUUAGCCUUAAUGACCCGCAUUUCGCACGCGUCCGCCAAACCAUUCUGUCCGCACUUUAGGGGCCCGAGUUGGACCCUUGACGCGAACACUGACGGAGUGAUCUCAUGCCGUCUCCCCCCACCUUAAGGUGCACAUCGUCACUUUACGCAUCUCUACACCUCCUUGUGGCUACCGCUUCCGUCGGGGGACCCGGCUAUGACUGCGAGUACGUGCUUUCGCACCCAUCGUUUGUCCUAAUCUAUGGGACCAUCAGGUGCGGGAUUUGAUACCUAUGAGCUGUAUACGCUAUUUGACAUUCACAGACUCGCUUUCGUAAUUCAUAGGGUGGACCCUUCAUGCUAGCGUUCUAACUUUGAGUUUCCUUAACCGCCCCCAGGCGUGUUCGCCACCUCGUACACCAAAUUAAGCUACUAUGCGCUCCUUGGAAUGGACCCGAUCUUACGACCCUCUGACACUCACUUUCGAGUAAAACAUCGUUAUGUGACGGUCAUUCCACGACGUACCGACAGCAGUCGAGCACGGCACUCCACAACCCAAUUCAGGGCGUUGCUCGCGUUGGGGGUAGUGAUCAACGGUAGUCCAUUGCGACCCUUGAGAUCACUUUGACGGCAGCAUUCUGCACUCCUUCCUCCCCUACUACAGUUCAGUAGUACCGGAAAUACGGGUCCCGAUGUGUGCACGAUGUUACCCCGCAUGUUUCCCGACGUUGUAUCGCUAUACUUCGAUUAGGGUUUUUUGCGGAGAGUCAAGUCUAACCUCAGACGUUGAGCUGAGGUACUUCGACCUUAGCGAUCAUUAGCGCCCAGUCGUACGGCGCCACUUAUACAAGGGCCCGGAACAUGUGUGGCGGGCAGUGUGGUACCCUCAACUAAUAUGGGCUGCAGCGACCCGAUUGAAAAUCUCCGUCCGCGGAUUCCAUACCAGCUAUUGACCCCACUUCAGCAUUGUUCCAUUGGCAU
This 1497-nucleotide ribosomal RNA is filed under the name uncultured bacterium. Its description in RNAcentral is "partial 16S ribosomal RNA". The record is from RNAcentral.